AUUGAACGCUGGCGGAAUGCUUUACACAUGCAAGUCGAACGGCAGCACGGGGGCAACCCUGGUGGCGAGUGGCGAACGGGUGAGUAAUACAUCGGAACGUGCCCAGUCGUGGGGGAUAACGUUGCGAAAGCUACGCUAAUACCGCAUACGAUCUAAGGAUGAAAGCGGGGGAUCGGAAGACCUCGCGCGAUUGGAGCGGCCGAUGGCAGAUUAGGUAGUUGGUGGGGUAAAGGCUCACCAAGCCGACGAUCUGUAGCUGGUCUGAGAGGACGACCAGCCACACUGGGACUGAGACACGGCCCAGACUCCUACGGGAGGCAGCAGUGGGGAAUUUUGGACAAUGGGCGCAAGCCUGAUCCAGCCAUUCCGCGUGCAGGAUGAAGGCCCUCGGGUUGUAAACUGCUUUUGUACGGAACGAAACGGCUCUCUCUAAUACAGGGGGCUAAUGACGGUACCGUAAGAAUAAGCACCGGCUAACUACGUGCCAGCCGCCGCAGUAA
RNAcentral lists this ribosomal RNA (500 nucleotides) under uncultured bacterium. Its description in RNAcentral is "partial 16S ribosomal RNA". It matches the Rfam family "Bacterial small subunit ribosomal RNA", at positions 30 to 523 of the family's 1533-position model. The record is from RNAcentral.